Molecule: unclassified non-coding RNA, 329 nt
Filed under: soil metagenome
Description: partial contains 5.8S ribosomal RNA, internal transcribed spacer 2, and large subunit ribosomal RNA
Rfam family: 5.8S ribosomal RNA (bases 1-120)
Source: RNAcentral
GAUGAAGAACGCAGCGAAAUGCGAUAAGUAGUGUGAAUUGCAGAAUUCAGUGAAUCAUCGAAUCUUUGAACGCACAUUGCGCCCCUUGGUAUCCCGAGGGGCAUGCCUGUUCGAGCGUCAUUUCACCACUCAAGCCUGGCUUGGUGUUGGGCGACGUCCUCUUUGGGGACGCGCCUCGAAACGCUCGGCGGCGUGGCACCGGCUUUAAGCGUAGCAGAAUCUUUCGCUUUGGAAGUCGGGGCCCCGUCUGCCGGAAGACCUGCUCGCAAGGUUGACCUCGGAUCAGGCAGGGAUACCCGCUGAACUUAAGCAUAUCAAUAAGCGGAGAA